CGAACCAAACACCCCUUUAGAGUAUCCCAGGCAUGCCCAUUCUUCCUCCUCGGAGGGUUCCCAAUCCCUCGAUACAUCUCCGGUGGACUGCCGUGGUAUCCCCACGGUUCUGUCGUAGAGAAUGUGGAGGGUUCCCAAUCCCUCGAUACAUCUCCGGUGGACUGCCGUGGUAUCCCCACGGUUCUGUCGUAGAGAAUGUGGUGGGAGGAAGCAAGCUUCGGUGGUGCAACUGAUACACCAGAACCCGGCAGAGGAAGAUAUUGAGAAGUUGAAGAAAUUAAAAGGUACGCAAGCAUCAUUAUUAGUCUGAUGAUGUGCUGGGGAAGAUCGGAAGCAGUUGUAAGGGUGUGUUGAUGGCAAAAUCAAGGUAGAAUUGUGUACGUGAUCUGGAUCUACGAAGUGAAGCAAUUGUUAGAUUGUGAUCACUGGCCAUCUAAGUACCCUUGCAUGGAAAUAAAUUAUGUUUUAUAUAUUUUUAAAUUUCCUAAUGAGGGAGAAGCCCCUCACUUACAGGAGUGCUGUCAAAAGUGGGAACCCAUCGCAAGGCUUAUUCUUGUUUUCACAGGAUUGUUGACUCACAUCUUAUAUGUGAAUGUGGGGAAAGAUCUAACGACUAAUCAUUAUAUUUUGAUUAUUGGAAUGAAAUCCACGAUGCUCCAAGGUAGGAGGCUGUUUUGCCUUGAGCAAAUUUUGAUAUGAUGACAUGGAAAGUGGAAAAUAAUCAAGUCAGAAUCCGAUGGGGAUGUGUAGAGAACUAGAGAUUUAAGGGAUAUUGGACUAUCAUUAAUCAUCAACACUCAGAAAAACAUUCGGGAAG
This 817-nucleotide long non-coding RNA is filed under the name Elaeis guineensis (African oil palm). RNAcentral describes it as "long non-coding RNA (EGUI_LNC001430)". The record is from RNAcentral. Lineage: Eukaryota; Viridiplantae; Streptophyta; Magnoliopsida; Arecales; Arecaceae.